GGGCCCGCACAAGCGGUGGAGUAUGUGGUUUAAUUCGAUGCAACGCGAAGAACCUUACCAGGGCUUAAAUGUAAGUUGCAUAGAUCAGAGAUGGUCUUUUCUUCGGACUACUUACAAGGUGCUGCAUGGUUGUCGUCAGCUCGUGCCGUGAGGUGUCAGGUUAAGUCCUAUAACGAGCGCAACCCCUGUCGUUAGUUACCAGCAAGUAAUGUUGGGUACUCUAGCGAGACUGCCGGUGCAAACCGUGAGGAAGGUGGGGAUGACGUCAAAUCAUCACGGCCCUUACGUCCCUGGGCUACACACGUGCUACAAUGGCCGGUACAGAGAGCAGCCACUACGCGAGUAGGAGCGAAUCUUCAAAGCCGGUCUCAGUUCGGAUCGCAGUCUGCAACUCGACUGCGUGAAGCUGGAAUCGGCUAG
This 420-nucleotide ribosomal RNA is filed under the name uncultured bacterium. Its description in RNAcentral is "bacterial SSU rRNA". It matches the Rfam family "Bacterial small subunit ribosomal RNA", at positions 917 to 1338 of the family's 1533-position model. The record is from RNAcentral.